Molecule: transfer RNA, 89 nt
Filed under: Endomicrobium sp.
Lineage: Bacteria; Pseudomonadati; Elusimicrobiota; Endomicrobiia; Endomicrobiales; Endomicrobiaceae
Description: tRNA-Leu
Rfam family: tRNA
About the family: Transfer RNA (tRNA) molecules are approximately 80 nucleotides in length. Their secondary structure includes four short double-helical elements and three loops (D, anti-codon, and T loops).
Source: RNAcentral
GCCGAGGUGGUGGAAUUGGCAGACACGUGAGACUCAAAAUCUCAAGUUGCUUAGGCGGCGUGCGGGUUCAAGUCCCGCCCUCGGCACCA